RNAcentral lists this ribosomal RNA (465 nucleotides) under uncultured bacterium. RNAcentral's name for it is "partial 16S ribosomal RNA". It matches the Rfam family "Bacterial small subunit ribosomal RNA", at positions 339 to 795 of the family's 1533-position model. The record is from RNAcentral.
CUACGGGUCGCUGCAGUGGGGAAUAUUGCGCAAUGGGGGAAACCCUGACGCAGCAACGCCGCGUGAGUGAUGAAGGCUUUCGGGUCGUAAAGCUCUGUCAGGUGGGAAGAACGGGUUGGUUCCCAAUAAGGAUCGACCCUGACGGUACCGCCAGAGGAAGCACCGGCUAACUCCGUGCCAGCAGCCGCGGUAAUACGGAGGGUGCAUGCGUUGUUCGGAAUCAUUGGGCGUAAAGCGCGUGCAGGCGGUCCGGUAAGUCAGGUGUGAAAGCCCUUGGCUCAACCAAGGAAAGUCAUCUGAAACUGCCGGACUUGAGUACGGGAGAGGGGAGUGGAAUUCCCGGUGUAGAGGUGAAAUUCGUAGAUAUCGGGAGGAACACCCGUGGCGAAGGCGACUCUCUGGACCGAUACUGACGCUGAGACGCGAAAGCGUGGGGAGCAAACAGGAUUAGAUACCCCCGUAGUC